This 101-nucleotide small nuclear RNA is filed under the name Myotis brandtii (Brandt's bat). The record is from RNAcentral. Lineage: Eukaryota; Metazoa; Chordata; Mammalia; Chiroptera; Vespertilionidae.
GUGCUCGCUUCGGCAGCACAUAUACGAAAAAUUGGAACGAUACAGAGAAGAUUAGCAUGGCCCAUGCGCAAGGAUGACAUGCAAAUGCGUGAAGCGUUUUU